Molecule: ribosomal RNA, 498 nt
Filed under: uncultured bacterium
Lineage: Bacteria
Description: partial 16S ribosomal RNA
Rfam family: Bacterial small subunit ribosomal RNA
Source: RNAcentral
AUUGAACGCUGGCGGCAUGCCUUACACAUGCAAGUCGAACGGUAACAGGUCUUCGGAUGCUGACGAGUGGCGAACGGGUGAGUAAUACAUCGGAACGUGCCUAGUAGUGGGGGAUAACUACUCGAAAGAGUGGCUAAUACCGCAUGAGAUCUACGGAUGAAAGCAGGGGAUCGCAAGACCUUGUGCUACUAGAGCGGCCGAUGGCAGAUUAGGUAGUUGGUGGGAUAAAAGCUUACCAAGCCGACGAUCUGUAGCCGGUAUGAGAGGACGAUCAGCCACACUGGAACUGAGACACGGCCCAGACUCCUACGGGAGGCAGCAGUGGGGAAUUUUGGACAAUGGGCGAAAGCCUGAUCCAGCAAUGCCGAGUGCAGGAUGAAGGCCUUCGGGUUGUAAACUGCUUUUGUACGGAACGAAAAGCCCCGGGUUAAUACCCUGGGGUCAUGACGGUACCGUAAGAAUAAGCACCGGCUAACUACGUGCCAGCAGCCGCGGUAA